AGAGAAACAUCCUGGAACAAGAGCUCGAUGAUGGAGGGAUACACUUCGUUGUUUGAAGGAAAAUGAGCUCGAUGAUGUGCAACAAAUUAUUCAGAUAAGUUAUACCUUUAUAGCGGAAGAAGAUACCAAAGCAAUUUUUCUGCUUUGUGGCUUGUUUCCAGAUGACUUCAAUAUUCCAAUUGAGGAUCUGACGAGAUACGCAUGGGGGCUUAAGUUGUUAAAGAAAGUUCGUACAUUGAGGGACGCUAGAGAUAGGACAAAGGCAUGUGUACUCAAUCUCAAAAAUGCAAAUUUAUUGCUCGAUAGUGAUUACUCUGAGUGUGUCAAAAUGCAUGAUCUUGUGCUUGCUUCUGUGGUAUCUGAAGUUUCUAAAGGUGAUCAUCCAUGGAUCAUUAACCACGAUGAUGUUUCAAACGAGAGUACAACUGAAUUGAGCAAGUCUUGCGGAAGAAUUUCUUUGACGUGUAUGGGCAUGUCUGAGUUACCUAGAGACUUUAAUUGCCCAAACGUGUCCCUAUUAAGACUUAUGAAUGGCGAUAAAUCGUUUAAGUUUCCUGAAGAUUUUUAUGCGAAAAUGGAAAAUCUUCAAGUUAUGGCAUGUGAGAACUUGCACUAUCCGAUGCUUCCUGUAUCGCUUCAAUGCUCCACCAAGCUUCGAACACUGUGUCUCCAUCAAUGCUCAUUGGUGUCUGAUUGUUCUCCUAUUGGUGAUCAUCUUUUGAACUUGGAAGUGCUCAGCUUUGCUCAUUCUGGCAUCAGAUGUUUACCAUCUGCAAUCGGGAAGCUAGUGAAGCUAAAGCUACUCGAUUUGACAGGUUGUAUUAAUCUUGAAAUCGCUGAUGGUGUCUUGAAAAACCUGGUGAAGCUUGAAGAGCUUUAUAUGACGGUUAAAGAAAAAAAGGGCAUCCAAUUUACGGAUAUAAACUACAAGGAAUUGGAAGAACGUUCCAAGAAUCUUUCUGCAUUAGAAGUUGAAUUCUUUGAGAACAAUUUUCAGUCAAAGAAUAUGACGUAUAAUAAACUCGAAAGUUUCAAGAUAUCUAUGGGACGGUUUUUAGUAGCAAAAAGUGGCAGAGACACACACUCAUCUGAAAACACGCUGACGUUGGCCUGUAACAAAUAUGAACUGUUGGAAUCCGGAAUGGAUGAGUUGUUUUCAAAAACAGAAGUGCUUCACUUAGAAGUGGGUGGCAUAAAUAACCUUGAAGAAGUUUUAUCGAAAUCCAUACCUCGACACUCAUUUUAUAAUUUACGAGAGCUUCAUGUUUCCGGUUGUGACGACUUGAGAUACCUUUUUACAAUCCCAAUAGCAAACGGUCUGGUGAAGGUUGAACGUCUCACAGUUAAGGAAUGCCCUGUGAUGGAAUUACUAGUAUACAGUGAAAUUGGUGAAGAAGGGGACAUUAUUAGGCUUCAGGAGCUAAAGCAUCUAUCUUUGUAUGAUCUACCAAUGUUGGUAGGUUUCUCCAACACCGAAGAUGUAAUCGAUCUACCGCAACUAGUGGAGUUGGAACUUAGAUCCCUUCCCAGUUUGACUAGCAUUUUUUCAGAGUAUAAAUCAACAUCUGUUACUAUGUCCCGUAGUAGUUCUGCAAUUAAAACUUUAUUCAACAAAGAGGUUAUGUUCCCUAGGUUGGAGAUGUUGUUUAUUGAUAGGAUGGAUGCAUUGGUGAAUAUAUGGCCUAAUAGCAGUGCGAAAGUUGAUUCUUGCUCAUUGCGAAAGUUUGCAGUGAAUCGCUGUGAUAAUCUUGUGAAUAUUUUUCCAAGCAAUUCCAUGUCAUUGCUGCAUCAUCUUGAAAAGAUCUCUGUUGUAUUCUGCAUAUCCGUUAAAAUUUUAUUCGACAUUGAUGUUCAAUAUUGUGAUAACCAUGAAGACGUUUCACCGAAAUUCGUACCUCCGCACUUGUUAUAUAACUUAAGAGACCUUUUGGUUUCUGGGUGUGACAACUUGAGAUACCUCUUUACAGUCCCAGUAGCAAACGGUCUGGUGAAGCUUGAGCAUCUCAGAAUUAUGGAUUGCAGGGUUAUGAAAUCACUUGUAUACAGUGAAAAUGGUAACGGAGACAUUAGGUUUCAGGAGCUAAAGGAGCUCUCUCUGUAUGAUCUACCAAAUCUGGCAGGUUUCUCCAACAACAACGAUGUUAUCGAUCUACCGCAAGGAGUGAAGUUGGAAUUUUAUGGCCUUCCAAAGUUCACAAUUGCUCAACUUAAAGAUAUUGCUAAUCGAGCAAUGUGACCUUUUGGAGCAUGUAUUCACCAGCUCCACACUUGAGAGCCUCAAACGACUGGAAAAGUUGACUGUAGAACACUUCAAGGCAAUGCAAGAAAUUGUGAAGGAAGAUGACUUGAAGGAAGAUGGAGAGCACACAACAUCUAAAGUUGUUGUCUUUCCCUAUCUAAAGUCCCUCAAAUUGACUGAUUUACCAAAUUUCAAAGGUUUCUUCUGUGGGAUGAACGAGUUUUGAUGGCCGCAGUUGGAUGACUCUAGGAUCUCUGGCUGUCCACAAAUGAAGGUUUUCACAUCUGGUCAAUCAAUGUUUCCAAAGCUCAACUACAUGUAUAUAGGAGAAAAAAAGCGUAGUCUUGAAGGUGGCCUCAACUUUGAGUUGAUCAAUGCAUCAAAUGAGCUUUGCGCCAGUCGAAGGAGAAGUGAUUCCCCUCGGGCCAAUAUUCAAAUAAAAAUUCCCGUGGGUUUGAUGAUUCGGCCCUGUCACCAGCUUAUAUAGCUGCUACCUCAACACGAUAUAAUUUCUUUGAAAAUUUUUAGAGGUACGACUCUUUUAGCGCCAUUAAUCAUGGUUUUUUUAAACAUGAAACUUUCUCGAAGAUUCGAUUCUAUGAGCAGCAGCACACCGGACAAUAGCUUUUCAAGGUUUGACUCAAUGAGAAGUACGAGAUAAGACCGUAAUUUUUCAAGGUUGCUAUGUCGUAUUGACAAAGUUUCUGAGCAGAAUUACGUACAUAUUGUAUACAAAUAACAUGUGUAAUGUUUAUUAAACCAUCUCCGCUUGGUCAGAUCAUCAUAUCCAUGGAUCAUUAACCACGGUGAUGUUUCAAAUUAGAGUAUAGCUGAAAUGAGCGAGUCUUGCAGAUGAAUUUCUUUGACAUGUAUGGGCAUGUCUGAGUUCUUGGGAGACUUUAAUUGUCCUACAUAUCAUAAAAUCAUACAUUUAAUUAUUGGUCUACCACAUAUCAUAUCAAACCGAACUUUAAACAAGCGUGGUAUGUUAACAAGAAAAGUCAAAUAUUCAAUUAAUAGGCCAGCAAUAUACACCAUACACCACUAGUUUUUGCUGGCCAAUUCAAUUCAAUUUAAUAGGCCGUAUAAACAAGGUAGCUUUGGUACAACACAACCAGUUUGGCCUUGGCCAGUUGAGUUCUUAAAUACUCCAUAGUGAACCCUCUAAUCAUACACAACUUUUCGACGAAUUACACACACUUACCUUGAUCGAAAAGUUUGGAGUCACUUAUCAUGAUAUCAUAAUGACGGUUAAUACCAAAAUCACCCAUAUCAUUUGCUGAUGCAUCAUGUCGGUCAGCUGGUGUUGUCUUGUUUGCACACACACUCAGCCAAACUUAACAAUAUAACAACGGGCAAUUCUCUCGAUGAUGGUGUGAAUGAUUUAUUUUGAAUCCCCCCCCCAAAAAAAAAAUAUCCAAAUGGGCUUCUUCCAAGUUCCAACCCGAGAAAACAUCAAAAGCAAUUAGAAGAUAAAUGAGGGUAUGGUAUACCCUUGAUCCAAAGACUAUUGUCUGGGUUGCAAACCAUGAUAAACCAGUGCUCGAUUACACUGGAUUUCUUACUGUUUCGAAGGAUGCUAAUGCUGACAUGCUAGACAAAAAGGAGGAUGUUUGCUUCUCGACAACCGUAGAAGGAGCUUGUCAAACUGCACGUAUGUUGCCGGAUUCUGGAAAUCUUGUGUUUAAAUUAAAUUUGAGAAUCUGGAAAGAGAGAGCUUUGAAACUCCAACUGCUUAAUUUCUUCCUGGUACAAAAAUCGGCACGUUUAAUGUUGAUAUCGUGGAGAAGUCCAACAGACCCGACACUUGGAAGGUUGGAGUUUCAUGCAGAUCUACAUACACUGAAAUUUACCUACGGUUGUCAAGAAGUAAACUUUCUUCUUGUUGUCUAGCAUCUCCGCAUUACCAUCUUUCGAAACAUUAAGAAAUCCAGUGGAAUCGAGCACUGGUUUAUCACGGUUUGCAACCCAGAAAAUAGUCUUCGGAUCAAGGGUAUACUAUAUCCCCACAUAUCUUCUAAUUGCUUUUGAUGUUUUCUCAGGUUGAAAGAAUCCCAUUUGAAAUUUUAGUUUUGUUAGGGGAUUAUAUAAUCAUCCAAACCAUCAUCGAGAGAAUUGCCGGCCCGUUGUUAUACUGUAAAGUUUGGCAGAUUGUGUGUGCGAAUAACACCACACCAGGAUGGUGCAUGAGUAAAUGAUAUGGGUGAUGUUUGUAUUUACAAUUGUUAAUGAUAUCAUGAUAAGUGACUCUAAA
Erigeron canadensis is the source of this 4493-nucleotide RNA transcript. RefSeq lists it as uncharacterized. NCBI's taxonomy places the organism in Eukaryota, Viridiplantae, Streptophyta, Magnoliopsida, Asterales, Asteraceae. The transcript has 4 exons. The record is from RefSeq and is a predicted model, not a curated record.